UCCGACGCGUUUAGGUUGUUUUAGGAUGGGGAUGAUGGGAGAUGUUUGUGGAUGAUGAGAUCACUCCGCGGGGAAAAAUGCUCCCCCUUCUUCGAGGGUUGUUCGAUAACCCAUUGUAAUAACUGCUGGGGAAUUGAGGAAGUGGUUACGUUGCUUUCGAGUGUUUAAUUGACUGAGGAAAGUGUGUGUCACUAAGUGAUUGGACUGGUUAUAUGUGUACAUGGUCACGUUUUCCAAUUUUCAGGUGAAACAGUAGGGUUUGUUGAAAUUGAUGACGUGAUAAAUGAGAAGAUUUAAGCACGUGUAAAUUUGAUUCUGUAAUAGAAAUAAUUGUUUAUAAGAAUUGCUAUCGAAGAGUUGAUCAAGUUCGUUGAAACUCAAGGAAGCCACUGUGAACAACACGAGCACCUAGUAUAAUCGACCAUCUCGCGUAAACUUGCUGGCGAGCAACGUCGUUUAGGUUUGCCAAGCGCACUCGGCGAUAUUUUAACUUAAAUCCAGUUUCCAUGGCACAGGGUGAGAGAGGGAUGAGGUCAGAACCGUGAGUAUCCCCACUUUCGUUGUUUAAGUUACACAGUGUUUCCCGUAGGAUCGUGUAAUUGGAUCCUGGAGCACCUUACCUGGUGAGACACCUGCCGGCAUUAAUCUCUAAGACCCUUACUCUGAAAGGAUCGCGUUAAACUGGUGGGAGAAUAAUCACCUUAAGAGCUUAUAAGUAUUUCAACUUAAUUACACGUAUUUUUCAACAAAAGCUCUGCCUCCGGCUUUCGACUGAAAGAGACUAAUUUUGAGCUAUGAAAAUUC
RNAcentral lists this unclassified non-coding RNA (804 nucleotides) under Bombus terrestris (buff-tailed bumblebee). RNAcentral describes it as "misc RNA ENSBTSG00005026575.1". Lineage: Eukaryota; Metazoa; Arthropoda; Insecta; Hymenoptera; Apidae. The record is from RNAcentral.